CACGUAGGGGGCGAGCGUUGUCCGGAUUCAUUGGGCGUAAAGCGCGCGCAGGCGGCUCGGCAAGUCGGGUGUGAAAACUCGGGGCUCAACCCCGGGCGUGCAUCCGAUACUGCCGGGCUUGAGGCAGGUAGGGGAGAUCGGAAUUCCUGGUGUAGCGGUGAAAUGCGCAGAUAUCAGGAGGAACACCGGUGGCGAAGGCGGAUCUCUGGGCCUGUCCUGACGCUGAGGCGCGAAAGCUAGGGGAGCGAACAGG
Molecule: ribosomal RNA, 253 nt
Filed under: uncultured bacterium
Lineage: Bacteria
Description: partial 16S ribosomal RNA
Rfam family: Bacterial small subunit ribosomal RNA
Source: RNAcentral